This 406-nucleotide ribosomal RNA is filed under the name Nocardioides deserti. Its description in RNAcentral is "bacterial SSU rRNA". It matches the Rfam family "Bacterial small subunit ribosomal RNA", at positions 21 to 429 of the family's 1533-position model. The record is from RNAcentral. Lineage: Bacteria; Bacillati; Actinomycetota; Actinomycetes; Propionibacteriales; Nocardioidaceae.
GGCUCAGGACGAACGCUGGCGGCGUGCUUAACACAUGCAAGUCGAGCGGUAAGGCUCCUUCGGGGGUACACGAGCGGCGAACGGGUGAGUAACACGUGAGUAAUCUGCCCUCCACUUCGGGAUAAGCCUCGGAAACGGGGUCUAAUACCGGAUACGACACUCCUUCGCAUGAGGUGGGUGUGGAAAGUUUUUCGGUGGGGGAUGUGCUCGCGGCCUAUCAGCUUGUUGGUGGGGUAAUGGCCUACCAAGGCUUCGACGGGUAGCCGGCCUGAGAGGGUGACCGGCCACACUGGGACUGAGACACGGCCCAGACUCCUACGGGAGGCAGCAGUGGGGAAUAUUGGACAAUGGGCGGAAGCCUGAUCCAGCAACGCCGCGUGAGGGAUGACGGCCUUCGGGUUGUAAA